This is a long non-coding RNA of Rhinichthys klamathensis goyatoka, 493 nucleotides long. RefSeq lists it as uncharacterized. The transcript is spliced from 4 exons. The record is from RefSeq and is a predicted model, not a curated record. Lineage: Eukaryota; Metazoa; Chordata; Actinopteri; Cypriniformes; Leuciscidae.
GUUGGCGAUGAACUGUUGCUGUUCGAUGCAGCGUAAGGAAAAAAUGAAAGCAUAUACAGAGCGAGCUGUGAAAUUCCGUCAUGAAUAUUUAUGAGGACGUGUGACCCGGGGCAGGAUGUAGACCGAGUGCUAUCCCAGCAUGCCCUGCUGUGAGGGAAGUUGAUCAGAUCAUCUCCAGCUUAUUGGCUUCAUUCUGUGUUCUCGUGUGAACAACAGAAGAGACCGUGUCUGGUGGGAAAGAGGAGGAUGAGCUGCAGAGAUGUGGACAAGGGCACAAGCAGGAGCGGAUGAGAUGUCCAGGACAGAGAGAGGCCGUAUAGCUUUCACUGUCAAGAGUCUGUUCUGAGGUGUUCAUGAUGAGCUUCUUCCAGGCCCGUUCUGACCUUCCCCAACAUGCACAUGGGCUUUUCUUUCCCUCCGCCCGCAGAUUGAUCAUGCAUGCUUCUCAGAGAUGUUUGAGGAAUGCUGAUCAGCGCUGGACGCUUUCUGAGGG